Molecule: long non-coding RNA, 3913 nt
Filed under: Megachile rotundata (alfalfa leafcutting bee)
Lineage: Eukaryota; Metazoa; Arthropoda; Insecta; Hymenoptera; Megachilidae
Description: uncharacterized LOC105662040, transcript variant X2
Source: RNAcentral
UAUGCAGUAUAGAAUCAUUCACAUCCUUAAACCCAACAAGUAAAAUGCAAAGCUGAAAAAAGUGAAUGGCAAAUGAGAACUGGAAGAAAAUAAGAUUUACAAGGGAUGACUCCGUGCACGCCCAUGAUACCCUGGUCGAAGGUGUUUCGUAUUACACGUGCCUGUAAGCCUGAAACACCCUGGACAACGUUGAAAACCCUUGGACAAACAGUUUCGGGGAAAUGCAGUGGAACGAUUGCUUCUUCAUAAUUUCAUGCUGUGUUCAUGUAAAAUUAGCAUAUUAAUAAGAAAGACGGCGACAGCGGUCAGGAUAGCAGGAUGAAAUCGCAGGAAGAUCUCCUCCUUCCAAGGAUCCUUCGUGGCUCUUCGACACAUCUGCGUUCCUAGUGGUCGAGUCUCCGCAUUUAGAACUCAAUGGAGCGAAUCUAAUUGCUGUUAUUACGAUGAUGACACGAUGCGUGAGCCUGUCACAUUGUAUGUCGAGGCUGUUACUGUUUUUUCGUACUUGCAUACGAUUGUGUUCUUUUCAUUCUUUGUGAUUGGAUGAAAUUAGAUGUGGGGAGAUUGGAUUAAGUUGGGGUUUUACCUUACCAGUUUUUAAUUUUGGGAAUUGUAUUUGAGGAGUAGGACUUCACUUUGGAAUUGACUUUGGGACUGUAGGACACUAGGGCUGUGGGACCUAGGACUGUAGGACACUAGGACCGUGGGUCACUAGGAUCAUAGGACAUUAGAAGUGUAGGACACUAGGACUGUAGGACACUAGAACCAUAGGACACCAGAACCAUAGGACACUAGGACCAUAGGACACUAGAAGUGUAGGACACUAGGACUGUAGGCCACUAGGACCUUGGGACACUAGGACCCUAGGACCUCAGAACUGUAGAACACUAGGACUGUAGGACACUAGAACUGUAGGACACUAAGACCUUAGGACACUAGGACCUUAGGACACUAGAACCUUAGGAGACUAGGACCUUAGGACACUAGGACCUUAGGACAUUAGGACCUUAGGACAUUAGGACCUUAGGACACUAGGACCUUAGGACACUAGGAUUAUAGGAUCUGCACUGUAGGGCCUAAGACUGUAGGACCUAAGACUGUAAGACCUGAGACUGUAGGACCCAAGACUGUAGAGCCUGAGACUAUAGGACCUGAGACUGUAGGUCCUAAGGCUGUAGCAUCUAGGAUUAUAGGACCUUGUACUCUAGGACUUCAAGCUUUUUGCAAUUUAGCAUUUUACAUUCAUACACUUUGGGUCUUUCAUACACUUCAUUUUUAAACUUCUAUACUCGGAACCUGGAACUGCAGCAUCUACAACUACAACACCUAGGACUAUAGGACCUUGUACUCUAGGACUUCAGGACCUGGGACUGUAGCACCUAGGACUAUGGGACCUUGUACUCUAGGACUUCAUGACUUUUGCAAUUUAUAAUUUUACACUCAUGGUCUUUGGGUUUUUCAUACAUUUCAUUUAUAAACUUCUAUACUCAGGACCUUGAAACUUCCACAUCUUCAUUAUCAUACAUAUUCUCAUCUUUCAACAGAAAUUAACCUCCAUAAAGAUCCAAACCAAUACAACAAAAUAGACACAUAAAUUAUAAAUACAUUGUUCAUGUCCUUAACUCUGAUCAUCUUAAUGUCUCCUUCAAAUCAAGCAAACUUUUGCAGGUAAUGCACUGGUGUUUCAUCAAAAAUACUCUUUGAAUGACAUAUUGUGCAACAGGCUAUACAAGAUAUUUCAGUUGAUCACAGAUGAGUAGAGCACAUAUUUGUAAACCAAAAGAAAAUAUAUGUUUAAACUGGAAGAGGUGACAUUUUGAGGGAAGUCAAAUGCGAACCUGUUUCCGGACCGCCUGCUCCAGGCCUGCCAUGGUCUCCUGUUAACAGGGAUAUCACUUUUCAUUUUUUUCAUAUCUCGUCGUGGACUUUUCGGUUGUGUAGGGUCAGUCAAUGACUUUCCUUGAGAAGAACAUUGAAAGAACCACGUGUCUUCAGACAUAAACCACACGUGCUGAUGUCACCUCAAAAAGUCAUCCACUCUGCCUAUAAUAACAAAUGACGUUUAAAGAAUAUUUAACAAACUCCACUUAAAAAAAGAAAAAGAAUUUAGGGUUAAGCCAUAAACAACUAUGACGACACCGGGCUGAAAACAUCCUGCCCGCAUAAUAACUCGCAUGCAUGAGCUCCUGGUCGGGGAUGUAUCGAGAACGAUUCGACUUUCUCCUCAAUUCUGAUAUCUCUAACCCGUGGUCUCGACAAGAUGUAACAACGUCGUGCUUGAAUGUCUUUUUUUAUGGCGCGACGUACGAAAAAAGGUUCUUGACAAAUAUUCAAUGAUCCUUGUGUACGAUGGUAAUUCGACGCGUGUACCAUCGGACGACGAAUUUAUAAACGGGAUACAGAUUUGUAAGUUACAUUAGCGAUUGCGGACGUAACCAGCUGUUAUAACUAGCAGGUCGUUUAAUGUUUCGAUUGGGAGAGACGGGAUAGGCAGAGACACGGGGGAAAGCCAGGAGGAGCGUGACAUGAACAGAAGCGCAUUUGGUGCCAUAUUACAUGCGCAGUGUAAACAACUCCGUUACAUCGGUGUAGCAGGGGAAUAAGGCAGGCGAAGAGGUCGCAGGGCGGGAAACGGUGCGGAGCAAGUGAGGUUAUGUUAGGUGGAAUCAAUUUAUCAUUUGUAAGAGUUUGAUAAAAAGGAAAGAAUGAUAAGGUAAUAAAAGAAUUUCUGGUACUAUGCAGAGUGACUACCACUUUUAAUAUUUAAGUUUGCAAAUCUUACUUUUAUUUUUUGCAAUAAUAUUGUGCAAUACAUACUUAUUUUUUCUUAGAAAUAUUAUCUGAUGUAUUUGUGUUUUAGGUGGAAUCAAUUUAUCAUUUGUAAGAAUUUGAUAAUAAGGAAAGAAUGGUAAGGUAAUAAAAGAAUUUCUGGUACUAUGCAGAGUGACUACCACUUUUAAUAUUUAAGUUUGCAAAUCUUACUUUUAUUUUUUGCAAUAAUGUACAAUCCAUAUUUAUUUUUUUCUUAUUAGUUAUUGAAGGUUAACUACUGAUGCUUAUGUUAAGAAAAAGCAUGUAUGUAGAUGCUUAUAAAAUUACACAGUUGCAUAUCAAAUAUUGCAUUCUUAUGUCUUGUGAUAUAUGUAUGUAAUUGUUCUUAAUACUGUGUCUAAGAAUUAUCACUGUAUCUAUAGGAUUUAGUUCAUUGUUAAAACAUUAAGUUAAUUUAAUAUUACUCUCAAAAAAAGUUUUGUGGCAGAAGUUGUUGACAUAAAUGAUUUGUAAAGUAAUUACAGAAGUAUUUGAUAUGAAUCUGAGGAAUCUUAAAUAUGGAAUAAUAUAUGACGGUAUUUCAGCAGAUGGAUAGAUUCAUAUCUCUCGUAUAUUAUAAAAUAGGGAAGUAGGAUGUCCAGGAGUUUCAGGUUAUGGUGCUUCAUAUUUUCAUGGAGCGGUCUCACCAUGGCAACACCCUAGCAGCCAUUUCAGAGCCUUAUGAUCAAAACAUCAUAUGAUAAAAGUUAGACACUUUGAUGUAUACACUUUUUAUUUAACAAUCAAGAUUUAUUGUAAAAAUUGACAUUGAUCAAAAUUAAUGUCAGUAAAAUAUGAUACAGUAUUCUUCGCUAUCAUACUUAAGUAAGAUUAAAAAUUUAUUAAGCAAAUACAAUCUCUUAAACAUUAUUUAUAAUUAUAUCAGAAUAGUACCAAUUCUGUAUUAUGCGAAAACCCUCAGAAAAUGCGCCAGAGGAUCAUAUACAUAUUCACCUUGCAACAGUUGCUGAAAUCCUAUUCAAAAUGCGUAGGUGUAUCUCGUUGAAGAAAAACCAUGAAGACAAACACAUAUUUCCUUGUGACAUACUCGUUACAUAAAAAUUUCAUAAAGAACUGAAGUUUUAAUACACCAUUGCUUGAA